This 938-nucleotide ribosomal RNA is filed under the name uncultured beta proteobacterium. Its description in RNAcentral is "bacterial SSU rRNA". It matches the Rfam family "Bacterial small subunit ribosomal RNA", at positions 58 to 991 of the family's 1533-position model. Lineage: Bacteria; Pseudomonadati; Pseudomonadota; Betaproteobacteria. The record is from RNAcentral.
CAAGUCGAGCGGCAGCGCGGGGCAACCUGGCGGCGAGCGGCGAACGGGUGAGUAAUGCAUCGGAACAUGUCCAUUCGUGGGGGAUAGCCCGGCGAAAGCCGGAUUAAUACCGCAUACGCCCGAGAGGGGAAAGUGGGGGACCGCAAGGCCUCACGCGAUUGGGUUGGCCGAUGUCCGAUUAGCUAGUUGGUGGGGUAAAGGCCUACCAAGGCGAUGAUCGGUAGCUGGUCUGAGAGGAUGAUCAGCCACACUGGGACUGAGACACGGCCCAGACUCCUACGGGAGGCAGCAGUAGGGAAUUUUGGACAAUGGGGGCAACCCUGAUCCAGCCAUUCCGCGUGAGUGAAGAAGGCCUUCGGGUUGUAAAGCUCUUUUGUCCGGAACGAAACGGGUGCGGCUAAUACUCGCGCCUACUGACGGUACCGGAAGAAUAAGCACCGGCUAACUACGUGCCAGCAGCCGCGGUAAUACGUAGGGUGCGAGCGUUAAUCGGAAUUACUGGGCGUAAAGCGUGCGCAGGCGGUUUUGUAAGCCAGAUGUGAAAUCCCCGGGCUUAACCUGGGAAUGGCAUUUGGGACUGCAAGGCUGGAGUGCGGCAGAGGAGACUGGAAUUCCUGGUGUAGCAGUGAAAUGCGUAGAUAUCAGGAGGAAUACCGAUGGCGAAGGCAGGUCUCUGGGCUGACACUGACGCUCAUGCACGAAAGCGUGGGGAGCAAACAGGAUUAGAUACCCUGGUAGUCCACGCCCUAAACGAUGUCGACUGGUUGUUGGGGGGUUUGACACUCUCAGUAACGAAGCUAACGCGUGAAGUCGACCGCCUGGGGGAGUACGGCCGCAAGGUUAAAACUCAAAGGAAUUGACGGGGACCCCCACAAGCGGUGGAUUAUGUGGAUUAAUUCGAUGCACCGCGAAAAACCUUACCUACCCUUGACAUGUCC